This is a long non-coding RNA of Sinocyclocheilus grahami, 209 nucleotides long. RefSeq lists it as uncharacterized. The record is from RefSeq and is a predicted model, not a curated record. Lineage: Eukaryota; Metazoa; Chordata; Actinopteri; Cypriniformes; Cyprinidae. The transcript has 3 exons.
CAAAAGUCUGCUGGCGCUGAACGGGACGGACAGCACUCAGCCCCGCAAGGAAAUCGAGAUCAGCAACGUCAAGUACAACAUCUUCCAGAUGAUGAUGUCAUACCUGUACUGCGGGGGGACGGAGUCUCUGAAGAUGGGCGUCCCAGAGUUACUGGAGUUACUGACAGCAGCCAGUUUGUUCCAGUUGGGGGCGCUACAGCGGCACUGUG